Macaca mulatta (Rhesus monkey) is the source of this 2792-nucleotide non-coding RNA. NCBI's taxonomy places the organism in Eukaryota, Metazoa, Chordata, Mammalia, Primates, Cercopithecidae. The record is from RefSeq and is a predicted model, not a curated record.
GAAUGAAAAGAGGCCCCCUUCGGAAACGGAAGUGGCUGUGAUGUCAUGGAGUAGCCGCCUCGGAAGGAAGAGCUGGGAUGGUUGGGUGGUCUAAGUGGAGUGCUGGCUAGGGACUUUAUAUUAGAGGGUAGUGAGGUCUUCAUGGUCCAGCGACACGUCCCGAGAAGUGAGGGGAAAUGGAGCAUCUCCCUGGAAACGCUGGGAUCUUAGAAGGUUUCUGCAUACCCAGGGUGCUUCUACGAAGUUGAGAAACUACUGUGUCAAGUUCAGACUGCGAUGGAUUACACCUCGGGCUUCAAGUCCAGGGAGUGGAGAAAGAAUGAAGAAAGUAUCAAAAUGUGUUUCCCAUGACAGAAGCAGGGCAGUGUGGUGGUGAUUUUGUGAUCUAGGUUGAAGUCCCUGAGCCAUCAUUUAUCAUCAUGUAUGUAAAAGUAACCAGGAAACUAUCUUACAGGGUAAAUGGCACCAAAAACCUGGUGAAGGGUCUGAAGAAAUUGACACAAACACUCAUUUUGAGGAAAGCAGAUAUGUAUGAAAACUCCUGUAAAAGAAGAAAAAUGCAACUAAAAAUUAAGAUUUUUAAAACUUAACAACUAAUUGUGCAAGUAUAAAUCUGAAAUACCAAAAUAAAAUCAAUUUUUGAAACACAAAGUCAAAUCUUUGUACCAAUUUUUUUUCCUAGACUCCUGUGGCCUAGAGCCUGUGAUCACUCAUUGAGCAAAAAGUUUAAAACUUAGUUGGGUUCUUGGCCGGGUGCAGUGGCUCAUGCCUGUAAUCCCAGCACUCUGGGAGGCCAACGUCGGUGGAUCACCUGACGUCAGGAGUUCAAGCCUAGCCUGGCCAACAUGAUUUUUAUCUAGGGGCCCAGAUAAUGUUACUGGGCAACAAAUUUGUGUAUCACCAAGGCAGCUGACAUCAUGAUGCUACAUUCUCCUACAUUCUACACUAAGCCCAGAUACAGAACCAAACACAAGAUCCUUCACAAAAGCAACAAAUAAAGACAAAGGACAUGAAAGCAACUGAGAAUGGCAACAGAUCUUCUUACUCAGCUUCAAACUCCCUGACGCUAGGACUUUAAACUCUUAAUCUUUUUGACCAGUUUAUCACCAGUACCUGUCACUAUGCUUGGAACAUGGUAAGCCACACAGUGCUUGGCAAGUAUCGGAAACUCAAUAAUUAUUUGCUGAUGAAUGAAUGCUAAAUAGAUCAGGUAAGUGAUGUUAGUGGCUUGGACAAGAGUGGUGGCAGUAGAGGCAAAGAAAAGGGGGAAGAUUUGAAAUACAUUUAAGAGGUGGACAUGACAGAAUUUGGUGAUCAAUUUGGGAGAGAAAGAGAGGAACAAGUCAAUAGUUUGGUUUGAGUACUUGGGCAGACAGUGAAAAGGAGUAUAUGGGGUAAGGGCAGACAUGGUAAGUAUAGUGUUAGAUAUGUGGCUUUUGAGCUGUCUUCAAGACAGCCAAAUGAUGUCUCCUUUAGGAUAUUUGGCAGUUGGCUGUGUGGGUCUGGAGUUUAGGAGAAAGAAGAAUGCACCAAAGAUAGAGAUUUGAGAGUUACUAACAGAGUCUGUGAAACCAUAUGGGAGGAAGAGAUUACCUAGGGCUUGGGUAGAGAACAGGAAUGGACAAAGGAAACUGAAAAUAAGCAGCUAAAGAGAUGGGAGGUAAAAAACCAGAAUAUGACAUAGAAAUCAAGGAAAGGGUGUUUUCAAAGACAAGUGGAUGGGUAACAGGGUCAAAUAUUGCCUAGAGAUCAUGCAAUGCAGACUGAAAAGUGUCUACUAGAUUUAGCAAUACAAGGGCCACUGGGACCUUAAUUGUGAGGCUUUAGCCAGAUGAAUGUGAAUAAGGAAUGAGGAGAUUAUGAGAAAAUAGAAUCAGCAAGUUUAAACAUUUCUAUGAAAUUUGUCUGAAGAAAAGACAGCAUGCUUAGUCCCUGGGUGUGGAGUUCAGGAAAAUUUUCUUCAUUAUUAUUACUGUUAUGUUAGGAGAGGCCUGACAUUUUAAAUGCUGAGAGAAUCAUCAGCAAAGGGAUAAGAGAAAGAAAGGAUAAUAGGAUGGGUAGACUUCCUGAGAAGAUUAACAGAGAUGGUAUUUAGAGGAGAGAUGGAGAGAUUGGUUUCGUAUAAGAGGAAGAAAUACCACUUCCAUUGUAACAAGAAGAAAGGAAGAAAGUUAGGUAGGUAUGGAGGACAAUUUAUAGACAUGAUGGCUAUAAUUUGAUAUAGUUUGCAUUCUCUGUGAAAGAAGUAGACAGACUACCUCUGAGGAGACUAAAGAUGGGGUGAAGGUUUAUUAUUAUAAAGAAUAAUAUAUAACAAAUAUAUAGAAACAGAAAGUAGAGUGGUUGUUACUGUGGAGUCCUAAUUAGGGAAAAGGAGUCAGGCUGGCGGGACCAGGGGAAAGCAAAGAGAUAAAACAAAUAAGCUAUAAAUAUGCCUUUCUUCAUGGUUCAGGACAUAUAAACAAAAAAGGAAGCAGUUUUUCUUUAUGGGUCUGUUUUUCUUUAUGCCCAAGGAUAUAUUGUCCAAGACAUAUGGCCCUCCUACUCAGAUAAUGUACGUAACUCACAAACUUACUGCUUACCAACAAACGCCUCAAUUUAUCAAACAUCUCAGCUGACAAAAGAAUGCAAUUUAUGCUCCCAGUGCAUUGGCAUUAUCAAUCAGCCCAAGUUCUAUUCUAUAAAAUCUCCAGCUAACCUUUGUCUCUUUGCAGUCAGCUCCUCUUUUGCAGGCUUCCAGUUGCUUUAUUGCAAUGUCUUGUCUUGUCUUGUCUUGUCUUGUCUUGUCUUUC